AGCAGCCGCGGUAAUUCCAGCUCCAAUAGCGUAUAUUAAAGUUGCUGCAGUUAAAAAGCUCGUAGUUGAAUUUCGGGACCAAUAUUUCGGUCGUGCCUCGGUACGUACUGGCAUCGUUGGUUUCUCCCUUCUGACGAACCAUGAUGCCAUUUAUUUGGUGUCGUGGGGAAUCAGGACUGUUACUUUGAAAAAUUAGAGUGUUUAAAGCAGGCUCACGCUUGAAUACAUUAGCAUGGAAUAAUGAAAUAGGACGUUUGAUUCUAUUUUGUUGGUUUCUAGGAUCGACGUAAUGAUUAAUAGGGAUAGUUGGGGGCAUUAGUAUUCAAUUGUCAGAGGUGAAAUUCUUGGAUUUAUUGAAGACUAACUACUGCGAAAGCAUUUGCCAAGGAUGUUUUCAUUAAUCAAGAACGAAAGUUAGGGGAUCGAAGACGAUCAGAUACCGUCGUAGUCUUAACCAUAAACUAUGCCGACUAGGGAUCGGAUGAUGUUAAUUUUUAAUGUACUCA
RNAcentral lists this ribosomal RNA (506 nucleotides) under uncultured Glomeraceae. RNAcentral's name for it is "SSU rRNA". It matches the Rfam family "Eukaryotic small subunit ribosomal RNA", at positions 569 to 1078 of the family's 1831-position model. The record is from RNAcentral. Lineage: Eukaryota; Fungi; Glomeromycota; Glomeromycetes; Glomerales; Glomeraceae.